UCCGUGCAUUUCUUUCUGAAAUAUUCAAGGGCUUCUGGACUGACUUUACAUAGAUCUGUGCAGAGUUGAAUGCCUGUUAUUAAGACUCCAUGAUGCUUUUCUUUAAGUAAGGCAGCAGCAGGGUUUAUGAAAUUUUCUGCCAGAUCAGGUACUUUCUUUAUAAUCCGUAUGGAGCACAGUGCAGCCUUUUUCCGAAUAUUUGGAUCACGAAAUUGGAGCAAUCUUUCCACUUCUGGUGCAAGAUCAAGGAGCCAUUUCUGCUGAACAAAUAUUUCCCAAAGCACAGAGAGCAAGCCCUACAAUAUACUGGUUCGAGUGAUUGAGAUCUUGUUUUAAUGAGUUUGUGACCAACAUUAGAACUUCUUGUCUUUCAUCAAGAAGUAGCAUGAGGCCAAGAUAUCCUAUUCUCUUCUCUGGAAAUCCAGCAGAUGCAAUCAAUUUCAGGCACUCCAUUUGACCAAAAUGUGUUGGAUAACCUAGCAUGUGAAUAAACAUGAGCUUUGCCAAGUUGCGGUGUCUAUAAUCUUGAUCAUUUUCAUUAAUCGCUGCACGAAUGGCAGCAGACUCUUUUCUUAUGACAGCACGUUCCUCAGCAGCAGUUUUGCAAGCACGUAUUGCCCUAAUCAUGUCCCUUAGACGCGUACCGGACGAGAAGGGAUUCAUGAUUGGGUCCGUUUUAAAGCUUUUCUGGAAGCUUCCCCGGCGAGCUCGAUCAGAUCAAAAUGAAAGAAAAGAAGCCGAGACGAUCAAAUAUCCCCCGAAUUCAGUCAGAGAAAACAGAUGGACCCGAACUCGAUAGUCGAAGAUCCGAAUAGGUUUAUUCAGGGAUCUUGGAGAGAGCAGAGAAGGAAGAGAGAUUUGGAUCUGAUGACACAGCAAGAGAGAGACAUAGGGCUCUUAUUU
RNAcentral lists this unclassified non-coding RNA (903 nucleotides) under Hevea brasiliensis (rubber tree). Lineage: Eukaryota; Viridiplantae; Streptophyta; Magnoliopsida; Malpighiales; Euphorbiaceae. The record is from RNAcentral.